Molecule: ribosomal RNA, 119 nt
Filed under: Stentor coeruleus
Lineage: Eukaryota; Ciliophora; Heterotrichea; Heterotrichida; Stentoridae
Source: RNAcentral
GUUGUCGGCCAUACUAUGCCUAAAGCACCAGAUCCCAUCCGAACUCUGAAGUUAAGCGGCAAGCGGCAUAAGGCAAGGUUAGUACUUGGGUGGGAGGCCGCUCCCUUGUGCUGACAACU